GCUAGAGGAGUGCAGUAGUGCUCACAACAAAUCAAUCAAAACCUGUUACAGACUUCUUUGUUCCUUCUCUACUCCCACUGCUUCAUUAAUAA
This is an unclassified non-coding RNA of Homo sapiens (human), 92 nucleotides long. It matches the Rfam family "Y RNA". Rfam says of the family: Y RNAs are components of the Ro ribonucleoprotein particle (Ro RNP), in association with Ro60 and La proteins. NCBI's taxonomy places the organism in Eukaryota, Metazoa, Chordata, Mammalia, Primates, Hominidae. The record is from Ensembl.